CAAGAGCCCCGAAAAGGGCCUUCGACC
Molecule: ribosomal RNA, 27 nt
Filed under: Nertera granadensis (bead plant)
Lineage: Eukaryota; Viridiplantae; Streptophyta; Magnoliopsida; Gentianales; Rubiaceae
Also listed under: 9 other names
Description: partial 26S ribosomal RNA
Source: RNAcentral